AGUCUUACACCCUCGGGAAGAGGGUGUGGCGGACGGCUGAGUAACACGUGGCUAACCUACCCUCGGGACGGGGAUAACCCCGGGAAACUGGGGAUAAUCCCCGAUAGGGGAAGAGUCCUGGAACGGUUCUUCCCCUAAACGGUUAUGGGCUGUUCCCGCUCAUAACCGCCCGAGGAUGGGGCCGCGGCCCAUCAGGCUGUUGGCGGGGUAAAGGCCCGCCAAACCUAUAACGGGUAGGGGCCGUGGGAGCGGGAGCCCCCAGUUGGGCACUGAGACAAGGGCCAGGCCCUACGGGGCGCACCAGGCGCGAAACGUCCCCAAUGCGCGAAAGCGUGAGGGCGCUACCCCGAGUGCCUCCGAAAGGAGGCUUUUCCCCGCUCUAAUAAGGCGGGGGAAUAAGCGGGGGGCAAGUCUGGUGUCAGCCGCCGCGGUAAUACCAGCUCCGCGAGUGGUCGGGGCGCUUACUGGGCCUAAAGCGCCUGUAGCCGGCCCACCAAGUUACCCCUUAAAGACCCGAGCUCAACUCGGGGACUGGGGGUAAUACUGGUGGGCUAGGGGGCGGGAGAGGCGGGAGGUACUCCCGGAGUAGGGGCGAAAUCCGUAGAUACCGGGAGGACCACCAGUGGCGGAGGCGUCCCGCUAGAACGCGCCCGACGGUGAGAGGCGAAAGCCGGGGCAGCAAACGGGAUUAGAUACCCCGGUAGUCCCGGCUGUAAACGAUGCGGGCUAGGUGUCAGACGGGCUUAGGGCCUGUCUGGUGCCGCAGGGAAGCCGUUAAGCCC
RNAcentral lists this ribosomal RNA (782 nucleotides) under uncultured archaeon. RNAcentral describes it as "bacterial SSU rRNA". It matches the Rfam family "Archaeal small subunit ribosomal RNA", at positions 56 to 822 of the family's 1478-position model. The record is from RNAcentral.